This 5607-nucleotide ribosomal RNA is filed under the name Triticum aestivum (bread wheat). RNAcentral describes it as "partial small subunit ribosomal RNA". Lineage: Eukaryota; Viridiplantae; Streptophyta; Magnoliopsida; Poales; Poaceae. The record is from RNAcentral.
AUGAUGAUAAUCAAAUGUCCGACGGAGCUAGUUUCAGGAAAAAAUGUCCGACGGAUGAAUAGCCGACGAUCCAACGAUCAGCGAACCGUCUGCCCCAACGAAAUCUCGCGCGCCGCCGCCUUUCUGCCCCAUCCAUCAAGCUUCAGGUGUUCUUCCGCAUUAACCUGCCCGGCCUUCAUCUUUCCGAUCGCAAGAUCUCCGCCUCCGCGCGCGAUCCACAUCUUUGACGGCACCGCAGCAAAAGGGGCCGGGUUGCAGAACCAAUCCGCGUACGUACGUCCGGACGGCCCUGGCCCUAGAUGUAAAAUCUGGAACUGGAGCCAUACGGGAUCUGAUCUUGCUGCAGCCUGCAGUCAGGAGGAUACUAGGUGGGUUAGCUUAACUGGGCCGAGGGAGGGAGGAACGACGAUGAUGAAUCGCCAGUUUGCCAACAUGAUAGUGCGCGAUGGCGGCAGGGGAAUCUACUCCCUAUGCCGUCUCGACCUCGCGCGGCAUCUCUUCCACCCUUCCACAGCAGCCGCACAAGCAGCAGCACCAGCCGCGAAAGCGAAUGAGACGAAGGGUUUGUUACUACUACCAACGACCUCGAGCUGCGGCGACCGUCUGCCCAGUCCCAGCAUCAAGUUCUCGAUCACUCCGGCCAUGGCCGGCUCGCCGUACAUGCAUUUCUUCUCGCUGCUGAGAGGGCAGGCGGAAGGCUCCGUCAUGUUCGUCCCCUGCUACGACAACCCCGUCCUGUACAACAUCGACAAGGAGUCCGUCGCCGGCGUGCCCCUGCCCAGCUUCCCCAAGCAGAGCGACUCCAUCUCCCUGUCCGUGGCCGGGCCUCGGGCACGCGUCCACCGCCAGUACGACGACGACGGCCAGCAGCAGCUCUAUGUCAUAACCAGAGGAAAUGGCGACGAUGGCUUCUUCGAGGUGCUGAACUACAGGAGGACCGGCUUCCCUUGGUAUGGUCGAUCUCAUGCUGGGCCCCUGUGGUGGAGCUGGAAGCCUCUGCCCUCCCCGCAGCUCUACGGACCGGCGUGCCCGCCGGACAUCGGCAGGAAAGUGUUCUCCCCCACCGCGGCGGCGGUGGUGGACGACACGACGAUCUGCGUGUCGUCCGUGGACGCCGGCAGCGCAUGCGCAUUCGACACGGCCAGGGGCGAGUGGAGGCAGGCUGGGGGCUGGGUGCUGCCCUGCGACGGCGCGGCCGAAUACGUCUCCGAGCUCGGCCUCUGGUUCGGCGUCGAGCACGCCAAGCGCAACCCCGACCACCGCCUGCGCGCCUUUGACCUCUCCUCCUCCUCCUCGCCGCCGGUGGUGCGGCAAACCUGGAGCUACCUCGAUCGCCUGCCCGGCGAGUGGCUUACGUCGCAGAGGCACCUGCUGAACCUCGGCUCAGGCAAGUUCUGCAUCGCCACCAGCUUUCAGAGCAUCGAGAGGCACCCAAACUCAUGGGGCUGCCAUUCUGACGACGGCCUGGAUGAUGACAUAGCGCUCCAUGACCUCACCGUCUUGACGGAAGUGGAGGUGUCCCAGCUCAGUAGGCUUGGGCCAACUCUGAACAUAAGUAUUGGGCGACUCAAGGACCGGUCCCUCGUCUCGGCGAGCCGCACCGGCGAACCAAGCGUGGAAGUGCACGGCAGCCUUCCAGGGGCUAGGUCAAAACGACCGACCGGCCGGCCGACCGAGCGAACCAUCUCUCUCCCCGAGCUCUCUCCUCUGGCGGCGGUGGUAAUGGCGGCGGUGGAUCCAAACCCCGACGGCAAUUUGUUCGGCGGCCAACCUCCUGACGUAGUUGGGGGCCGCGUCGACCUUUCGGAGGUCGAUACGUGGCUAGGCAGCUCUAGCAGCUGUAGCUUUGCGGCGCAACAGCCUGAAUCUGGAGUUGGCGGCGGCGGCGGCUCGACCACCGACGAGCCAUCCCAGGAGUUGGCGGCGGCUCCAGCAUCGACGACGACAAGAAGUGCACCUUGUGGCCGGCGCAAGCUUCCUCGUGCGGGAGGCGGCAGUAUUGAUGACCCAAAAUGGGGAAUUUGGUUCCAUUUAGAAGGCAGAGAUUCUGUUGUUAGAAACAUGUACCAGUCAGACAUAUCAUUUGGGACUCUGAUAUCUCUUAUUAGGAGUGAGGGUUGCUGCUCUGAUGAUUAUAUGUACUAUGUUAGUGAUGCUCAUAAAGGGAUAGAAGGCUUAGAGAAAAUAUCUUUUGAAGAUGAUGUGCAGCAGAUGUUGCUCCACUCUUUAAAUGAAAAGAGUGUGAACAUAAGAGUUGUGAGAGCAAAUGAGCUGUGUAAUGCAGAUGAAAACAGAGAUUAUUAUUUUGUUGAUCAUUGCAUUAACACCCAACAAAGUUGCACUAAGUUGAUGGAUACAAGCAUGGACAGAAAGGAAGAGCUUAAGAAAAGUGUUCUUCAGAGAGAAGCCGACCUCAAUCAUUUUGAAGGUGACACUGAUAUAUCAGAAUUUCUGUCUGAUUCAGAUGGCAACAGUGUGGAAUUGCAACUGCAAGCAGUUUCUUCAUCUGAUGAUGAGGAUAGACCAAUGGCACAGAAACUAAAGCCAGUGAGAAAUCCUGGUCCAACAAUUAGAUCACACAAUGAGGCUGAGAAAAUGGAAAAACCAGAUUGGUUGCCUGAAGCUGAUGAAAAAUGUUUUCCUGGUGAUUAUGGCAUUAGUGAUGAAGAAGAUGAGCCUGAAGGAUCCUAUAAACUACCAAGUGGUAGGAAGAGAAGGAAUAUGAAGUUGAAGGAAAGGGUAUGGUUCAAUCCCAAACUACCAAACCCAGAAGAACAGUUUUGUAAGGGAUUGUGCUUCACCAGUGUUUAUGAGUACAGAGAUGCACCUAGGGAUUUUCACAUUAGGACAUUGAGGAACUUUCAAUACCAUAGAAAUGCCCCAGAUAGGAUUAUUGUUUGGUGCUCAGAGAGAGCACAAGGAUGUGAUUUUUAUAUCACUGCCUCUAAAAUAGCUCAUGAGAAAACUUUCUGCAUCAAGAAGUGUGAUAUUGUGCACACUUGUGGAGCAUGUGCAGAGUCCACAAAGGUUACUACAAAGUGGUUGUCCAGAUCAGUACAGGAAGCAUUGAGAGAAGACAUUAGAUCUCCUGUGGAUGCAUUAAUUAAAAAGACAAAGACCAAGUUUUCAGUGGAUGUGUCAAGGAGUGUGGCAUAUAGGGCAAGGAGGAAGGCUGUUGAUGUGGUGCAAGGUGAUCACAAGCAGCAGUAUUUGAGGUUAAGAGAUUAUCUUCAAGCUGUUCUUGAUACAAACCCUGGGAGCAGGUGUAUAGUGACAACAUUUGAAAAUCCAGAAAACCCAGCACCUACUCCUAGAUUCAAGUAUCUUUUCUACUGUUUAGCAGCUUCAAAGGAAGGUUUCCUUAAUGGUUGCAGACCAUUUAUAGGUCUUGAUGGAUGCUUCAUCAAGUUAACCACUGGACAACAAAUACUUGCAGCCACAGGAAGGGAUGGCAACAACAACAUCUACCCCAUAGCUUUUGGUGUGGUUGACAAGGAAGAUGGAGAGAGUUGGACUUGGUUUUUAACUCAGUUGAGAUGUUGCAUUGGUAGUGGCAACAAGUUUGGAACAUACACCAUCAUAUCUGACAGGCAAAAGGGCUUGCUUAAGGCAAUAAAUGAGGUAUCCCCUUCACCUCAAAGGUUUGCUAUGGAUCAUACAUGCAAAACAGAUAUAGUGGUGAACAACCUGAGUGAAGUGUUCAACAAGAUGAUACUGGAUGUUAGGGCUAAGCCUAUAAGGACAAUGUUUGAAGGGAUUAGGACCAAGCAGAUGAUCAAGAGGCAGCAGACCAGAGAGAAGUUACAGAUUAGCAGGUGGACAAUCACACCCAACUAUGCAGAGAUUUUAGAAGAGAACAAGAAAUAUGCCAAGUAUUGCCAGGCUGAUAGAGCAGGUGAAACAAUAUGGCAAGUUACCAGCAAAGAAAAACAAUAUUGUGUUGACAUGGAAAAAUAUACCUGUGAUUGCAAAAGAUGGAACAUGUCAGGAGUGCCUUGCAGUCAUGCCAUAUCUGCAAUGACAAAGCAAAAACUGCAUCCUGAGGACUAUGUUAGUGAAUUUUUCAAGAAGACAUUAUAUUUUGAGACAUACAAAGAAAUUAUAUACCCUGUCCCUGGUCCAGAUUGCUGGCCUCAAUCAAACACACCAGACAUUGAGCCUCCUGUUUUUAAAGAAAAGGCAGGGAAAAAACAAACUGCAAGGAGGAAAGGGCAGUUUGAAGUUCCAGGUCCAAGAGAUAGUAGUAGGAUGGGGACUAUAACAUGUAGUAACUGUGGGCUAGAAGGACACAAGUAUACAAGUUGCCAGAAGGCUCUGAGGCCUAAGCUUCAGAUGAGGAAAAACAAACAUCAGAUACACCAGCUGCACCAGCUCAAGGCCAUGCUACAACUGGAAGAAGAGCCAAUCCUACUCCAGGACCUGCUGCAACAGCAAAUAGAGCAUCACAUUCUGCUCCAGGACCUUCUGCAUCAGCACCAGCCCCUGUUGGUACAUCCAGAAGGGGCAGGCCUGCAGGUAGAGGGAGAAAUUCUGGUUUCAGUGCACCAAGAUCUGCCACAACUUCUGCACAAGGUUUGGCAGGGACCAAAAGGAAGAGAUGGGCCUGCUGCCCUGUUAUGCUUUAUUAUUUUGGGCUUGGCACUGGGCUCGGUUAUUGGAUCUCUCUGCCCCCCUCCCAAGCCUGCCAUUCUGUCUACAAAAGACGCAGCGAUCCUACAACCUCUUUCCCCUAACCCUAAACCUAGCCGCCGCGGAAGCACGCGGACCCUAGUUCAGCCAGAGAUGGAUCCAGCAUUAGGAGAGCUAGUGGAUGACCAUGAGGAGGUUGAUAGGGCUGCUGCGAGGGCCAAUCGCAGAGCGCACGCACUGGAGCGACGGCAGAGGCUGGCUGCCAGGAUUAUGGCAGAACGCAACGCCAACGAUGUCAAAGCGGCGUCAUCUUCGUCGUCUGCAGAACUAGUAAAAUCUCCUCACUAUUACUACUCCACUGCCACACAACACCUCCCCCCACUUAACUCCCCCACCUCACUUCUGCCGCACCCACAACUACUCUUCCCCUUCCCCAGACCCAUGGCUGGUUCUUCCUCUUCCCCUUCCCUAGACCCAUGGCUAAACCCAUUCCCAACUGGCAAGGGAUGGGUUGCCAUGCUUCUUGGUUCAGCACGCGGCGACCAAGAACUCUUCCUCGACUACAUGAAGGUCGCCAUGAGGUACACCAGCGCUAUUGGGCUGGUAGAUGCAGUAGAGGAAGUGAGGAAGAAGGCGACUAGCGAGGAGAAGCAGCGCAUGGAGCAGCGCUAUGGAAACCCAGGUAAGGUGGUCAUGCCCAUCGACAUUCUCCUAUGGGCAAUGAAGGAGGCCGACUCCGGCGAUGCUGGGCAGAGGCAGCGGUGGGCAGACCACCGCUAUGUCGCUCCAGCACAAGCUACAUCAAAUGCAAACGCAGCAGAGGUGCAGGAAGACGACGACGACCUACAGAUCGUCGCACAGCCAGCUGUGCAGGCUCGCCGCCGUCCUCCUCCCAUCAUCAUCAUCGAUGAAGACGAAGAGGAAGAGGAUGUGGAGGUGCAGCCAAAUCCCACCCAACUGAAGCAAGAGGUAGGAUAA